RNAcentral lists this long non-coding RNA (2824 nucleotides) under Equus asinus (donkey). RNAcentral's name for it is "lncRNA (ENSEASG00005032216.1)". Lineage: Eukaryota; Metazoa; Chordata; Mammalia; Perissodactyla; Equidae. The record is from RNAcentral.
AUACUCAGAAGCUGGCCCUACUGCAUCAGCCUAAUCAAGUUUUACCCCUGCCUGAGCUCUGGUGGGAGGUCUACUCUGAGAACUUGGGAGGGCAAACACCUGAGCAAAACUGGGGCUCUGUCAGCUCUGAUGGCCAGGAACAGCCCAAGGCCAACCGUGAGCAAUUAACUCCAUCUGCCACAUGGACUCACCUUGCUAUAGCUAAGAGAAGGGAUCAUUGCAGGUCCAUCACCCACUAGAUGACGAAUAAUGAGGAAUAAAAAAAGAUUUCUUUUAGAAGAGAUUUGAUUUCUAUUUUAAUCCUCUAAUUCCCCGUAAAAACUGGAAAAUACCUUAUAAACUUCAGCUCGAGUGCUAAAUUAGUUAAACAAGGAGACCAUUAGACUGAGGUGGCUCUAACGUCAUGGUGGCCUAUUUCUCCUGUCAGAAGAGGGAACCAAAGGAGACCCCCGACAGCCCCAGGAACAACAGCAAUGGAGCAUAGGUGGAUGUUUCUGGUGACCAGGAUGAGACCUGCUGGGACACCCCACUCACUCCAGAGCCUGCAGACACCAUCCUGGAAAAACUCGCAGAAGUCAGCAAAGGAAUCACUAAGGACGAAGACUGCUCUUGAACUUCCUUGGAAGGGACCACACAAGGUCCUCCUCACUACCCAGACGGCAGCCAACCUUCAGGGUCUUAAACCUUAGGUUCACAUCCCUCAAUUAAAAAGGGCUCCUCCAGACUCUUGGAAGCGCACACCAGCUGGAGACCUAAAAUUAAAAUUGACUAGAGAGGUUCCUCCCCAGAAGCAGACGGCGUCUUGAGGUGGACAGCUCUCCCAAGAUCAUGGAUCAAGACCUUCAUCUUCAAUAUGAAACCUUUAUUCCUUUUGCCUUUCUGCUAUUUGUUUUUUUCUCUUAACGCAUGGGAAGACAGUGCUCCUUAACUCUGGCAACUAUCACUGAAUGUACUGCUAAAGGCCAUAGUUACAUAACAAAAGUCCCUCGACUUUCUUGCUAAGGUAGUUUUAGAUAAUAGAAUUGCUUUAAUUACUUCUAGCUGAACAUGGAGUCUGUGCCAUAGCAAAUAGCUCCUGCUGUACCUGGAUCAACGCCUCUAGUAUUGUAGCAAAUACAGGAAAUUAACAAAAAAGCCACUUGGCUAAAACAGGUUGAUGCCUCUUCAGGUACAUUCUUUGAUUUAUUUGAUACCAAUUGGCUUGGUUCCUGGGGGCCCUAAGUCUGUUGGUAUUAUCCUCCUAAUAGUUGUCAUUGUAAUCUCCCUUGUGCACUAUGUUCUCUCAGAGAUCUUAAAUGCAUGUUCACAGCCAUCAGCAGUACAUCAGGUGGGCUCAUCGUGCCUGGACAAACAGAAACGAGAUGAACGGCAAAAAACAAUUCUUCCAUGGCUCUGACAUCAUAACCUAUGAGUUUCACAAUGAGACAAGAGCAACUUAACUCUGAUGGUGACUGAGAUUGGCACUAACAUCAAAUUUUUGGUCAAUCUCUCAUGUAUGAAAUGAUGACCAAAAGAGGGGAAUUGUUAAUUAAGCAAGGAGGCCAUUAGACUGAGGUGGCUCUAAUGCUGUGGUGGCCUAUGUAAACAAACCAAAAUCUAAGCCUCUAAAUGCCUCGAGGUUACAAAAUCAAAACUCUAAGGACCACCAAUCACAAACAGCCAACCAGACUUGAAGCUAUAGUCAAUCAAUAAUUUCCUUACUUCUGCCUCUUCUCUAUAAAAGUCUGCCUGAGCUCCUGACAGUGAAGCACUCCUAGCCACCUCGUUUGGCACUGCCAGAUUCCAACAGAUGUUUGCUCAAAUAAACUCAAAAAUUUUAAUACACUUUAGUUUAUUGUUUAACAAGUGACUUCCUCUCUGGAGCUUUUUACGACACUCUCCCUCCUCCUCGGGGGAUGUAAGCACUUGUGUCUGCUCUCUUCUAAACCGGCUUUAUCAGAGCACGUAUGAGGCUUGCACUUGCUUGCAUGCUCCUCUGCCCCUCCUGAAAUGUGUCCUCUUUGAGGCCGGGGACAAUAUCUGUAUUCUAUUCUGUGUGUUUAGGAUCUAGCACACAGGAGGCUCAAUAAAUAUUUGUUGAAUGAAUGAAUGGGGGAGGAGAAAUGAUCCAGAAAUGCCUAAUAUUAAUAACAAGCAUUUACCCAGGACUAAUUAUACGGCAGGCAUUACACAAAGGCAUGUAUGCUGAAUGGACUGAUUUAUUCCUAAGACAGCCCUAUGAAGUAGGAGCCACUAUUAUCUUCACUUUAAAUUUAAGAAAAGUACAUCACAGUGAGGCUAAUCACUUGUCUAAGGUCACAAACUAGGAAGUGACAAGUGUGGCACUGGAUCCCAGAGCCCAUCAUGUUCUUUGCCUUUACACAGAGAGGGAAAAGGAUGCUCCACCCGCAUUAGAGGUGGAGACCUCUCUAGAGGGCCCUAAUCCAGGGGAGAGCUGCAAGGGGUGCUGCCAUUGGUGGGAUUUGUAGCUUUUAGGAUCCUGAAGGCUUUUGCAUUCUUGGACAUUUUACGGGGACAGGGAAAAAAGCAUUUCUCAAGGACUUAAGAAGGGAUGGCAAUGGAGAGAAACAAAAGAUAGCAUCUAAGGUUUUGCUCUAAAAGGUUAGAAUCUGGAGAGAAAACCUCCAUUCACUGGCAAGAAAAGUAAAAACACUAACGCUGGGGCUGGCCCCCUGGCCGAGUGGUUAAGUUUGUGCUCUCUGCUUCACGGCCCAGGGUUGUUGGUUCGGAUCCUGGGUGCAGACCUGCACACCACUCCUGAAGCCAUGCUGUGACAGCAUCCCACACAGAAGAACUAGAACGACUUACAACUAGUAUAUGCAAC